GAUGAACGCUAGCGGCAGGCUUAACACAUGCAAGUCGAGGGGUAUGGGUUUUCGGACCCAGAGACCGGCGCACGGGUGCGUAACGCGUAUGCAAUCUGCCUUACACCAGGGGAUAGCCCAGAGAAAUUUGGAUUAAUACCCUAUAGUAUAUUGAUGUGGCAUCACAUUAUUAUUAAAGAUUUAUCGGUGUAAGAUGGGCAUGCGUCCCAUUAGCUAGUUGGUAUGGUAACGGCAUACCAAGGCAAUGAUGGGUAGGGGUCCUGAGAGGGAGAGCCCCCACACUGGUACUGGGAAACGUACCAGACGCAUACGGGAGGCAGGCGUGAGGAAUAGUGGACAACGGGCGCAAGGCUGAACCAGCCAUGCCGCGUGCAGGAUGACGGUCCUAUGGAUUGUAAACUGCUUUUAUACAGGAAGAAACCCUAUUACGUGUAAUAGAUUGACGGUACUGUAGGAAUAAGGAUCGGCUAACUCCGUGCCAGCCGCCGCCGUAA
Molecule: ribosomal RNA, 494 nt
Filed under: uncultured bacterium
Lineage: Bacteria
Description: partial 16S ribosomal RNA
Rfam family: Bacterial small subunit ribosomal RNA
Source: RNAcentral